AGAGUUUGAUCCUGGCUCAGAACGAACGCUGGCGGCAGGCUUAACACAUGCAAGUCGAACGCUCGUAGCAAUACGGGAGUGGCAGACGGGUGAGUAACGCGUGGGAACAUACCCUUUGGUUCGGAAUAACUGAGAGAAAUUUCAGCUAAUACCGGAUGUGCCCUUCGGGGGAAAGAUUUAUCGCCAAAGGAUUGGCCCGCGUCUGAUUAGCUAGUUGGUGAGGUAACGGCCCACCAAGGCGACGAUCAGUAGCUGGUCUGAGAGGAUGAUCAGCCACACUGGGACUGAGACACGGCCCAGACUCCUACGGGAGGCAGCAGUGGGGAAUAUUGGACAAUGGGGGCAACCCUGAUCCAGCCAUGCCGCGUGAGUGAUGAAGGCCUUAGGGUUGUAAAGCUCUUUCGUCAGGGAAGAUAAUGACGG
This 423-nucleotide ribosomal RNA is filed under the name uncultured Alphaproteobacteria bacterium. Its description in RNAcentral is "bacterial SSU rRNA". It matches the Rfam family "Bacterial small subunit ribosomal RNA", at positions 8 to 457 of the family's 1533-position model. The record is from RNAcentral. Lineage: Bacteria; Pseudomonadati; Pseudomonadota; Alphaproteobacteria.